CGUAAGUAACUUACCCUAGAGUGGGGAAUAACACAGAGAAAUCUGUGCUAAUACCGCAUACGAUUUAUUGAUUAUUUCUAUAAAUGAAAGAUUUAUCGCUCUUGGAUGGGCUUGCGUCCUAUCAGGUUGUUGGCGGGGUAAUGGCCCACCAAGCCUAAGACGGGUAGCUGGUGUGAGAGCACGACCAGCCAGAGGGGGACUGAGACACGGCCCCCACUCCUACGGGAGGCAGCAGCUAAGAAUAUUGCACAAUGGACGAAAGUCUGAUGCAGCGACACCGCGUGAGGGAUGAAGGUUUUAGGAUCGUAAACCUCUUUUAUUAGGGAAUAGCAAGGAAGGUACCUAAUGAAUAAGGUACGGCUAACUACGUGCCAGCAGCCGCGGUAAUACGUAGGUACCGAACGUUGUCCGGAAUCACUGGGCGUAAAGGGUCCGUAGGCGGUUUGAUAAGUCUCAUAUGAAAACUUCAAGCUUAACUUGGAGAGGUUGUGAGAUACUGUCAAACUAGAGACUGUUAGAGGUAAGUGGAAUUCCAGGUGUAGUGGUGAAAUGCGUAGAUAUCUGGAGGAACACCAGUGGCGAAAGCGACUUACUGGGACAGUUCUGACGCUAAGGGACGAAAGCGUGGGGAGCGAACCGGAUUAGAUACCCGGGUAGUCCACGCCGUAAACGAUGAUUGCUAGGUUUUCGGGGCAUCGACCCCUCGUGAGCCGAAGUUAACGCGUUAAGCAAUCCGCCUGAGUAGUACGGCCGCAAGGCUAAAACUCAAAGAAAUUGACGGGGGACCGCACAAGCAGCGGAGCGUGUGGUUUAAUUCGAUGGUAAGCGAAGAACCUUACCAGGGUUUGACAUGUAAGUAGUACUGAACCGAAAGGGGAUGGACCCGCAAGGGAGCUUACACAGGUGUUGCAUGGUUGUCGUCAGCUCGUGCCGUGAGGUGUUGGGUUAAGUCCCGCAACGAGCGCAACCCUCAUCGUUAGUUACUAUGUCUAGCGAGACUGCCUCUAAAAAAGAGGAGGAAGGUGGGGAUGACGUCA
RNAcentral lists this ribosomal RNA (1037 nucleotides) under marine metagenome. Its description in RNAcentral is "bacterial SSU rRNA". It matches the Rfam family "Bacterial small subunit ribosomal RNA", at positions 116 to 1187 of the family's 1533-position model. The record is from RNAcentral.